RNAcentral lists this ribosomal RNA (429 nucleotides) under Bacillota bacterium. RNAcentral describes it as "Firmicutes bacterium partial 16S ribosomal RNA". It matches the Rfam family "Bacterial small subunit ribosomal RNA", at positions 355 to 776 of the family's 1533-position model. Lineage: Bacteria; Bacillati; Bacillota. The record is from RNAcentral.
UAGGGAAUCUUCGGCAAUGGACGGAAGUCUGACCGAGCAACGCCGCGUGAGUGAAGAAGGUUUUCGGAUCGUAAAGCUCUGUUGUUAGAGAAGAACGUUGGUAGGAGUGGAAAAUCUACCAAGUGACGGUAACUAACCAGAAAGGGACGGCUAACUACGUGCCAGCAGCCGCGGUAAUACGUAGGUCCCGAGCGUUGUCCGGAUUUAUUGGGCGUAAAGCGAGCGUAGGCGGUUCUUUAAGUCUGAAGUUAAAGGCAGUGGCUUAACCAUUGUACGCAUUGGAAACUGGAGGACUUGAGUGCAGAAGGGGAGGGUGGAAUUCCAGGUGUAGCGGUGAAAUGCGUAGAUAUAUGGAGGAACACCGGUGGCGAAAGCGGCUCUCUGGUCUGUGACUGACGCUGAGGCUCGAAAGCGUGGGGAGCAAACAGG